UGCACACUGCAGCUAAAGAGCGGUUCUCCUUGCUUUAAGCUCCACAGAAAAGAUUACUGUUUUAACAUUUAAAAAACAACAACAAAUAUGAUUACUGCAUCAUCUCUCCCAGCUUUCAAGUCAAAGGAAUUGUCUGCUUGUGGAUUAUGCUGUCCUCGAGAGCAUGGAUGACCGAUGAUUUCUACAGAAUUCAGAUUGAAUCAUGAAGCAUCAACCAGCACGAGUGACUUUAUCUGAACUGUGGAUCAGUUGGAUUAUCAAGUGGAACAUCAUCUACAACAUCUGGGAGAUUUUUGGUGGCUUGAGUUCCUCAAUGCUGCACCAGGGGGACCAGCAGCGCCACGGGGACCCAUUGGACCCUACAGAAUGAAAGAAAGUCUAGGUUAGGAAAAAACAUCAGUGUCCAUGUGAGUGUAUUUAUGUGUGUCACUGUGUGGCGGCAUGAGUGAGUCACACUUUGGCAGUUCUGAAUUAUCCAGAUGAAAUAAAGUGAAAAUCUUGCCAGGUCAGAAAGAAAGCUCUGUUGAGACACAGACUGCAUGUCCAUGCAUCCAUACAGUAGAAAAGCAGUCUAGAUGGCUAAGGUCAAGUUACAUGAACUUUGUUUACCUUUGACCUCAUUUGACCCAAAUGACUCAAACUCGGGCACAUAUGCAAGUAGGUAAAGGUUCUAUCAAUAUAGGUGAAUGUAAACAGGUAGAGCAAUCUCAGAUUUCAUGGUCAGUUCAUUGUUUAAGGAAUUUUCUAACUGUUUAUGUAAUGAACAGAAUGAAGCAGGGUUGAUGAGUUUGCAGAUAACUAAUUUAGAUACUCACAGGAGCACCAGCCUCACCAGGCUCGCCAGGGGGACCAGUAAAUCCUUGGGGUCCCUGUAAAGGUGGACAAAGUGCACAAAUUAAAGCAGGAAUCACAGUGCUAGUACAUGCUAAACAAUGGAAGUAGCUGUGUUAGAUUUCCUGAGUGAAUCUUAAUAUGAAGAGAUCAUUCAGAUGUCCCCAAAAUAUGUUGAUUUCAAUUUGUAUAUGAUAUAUUCAUUUUUGAAAGAUGCAUAAGGCAAAUUUCAGUCUCCAAAAUAAUACUUAAUACCCCAAAUUAAUUUAAUUAUGAAUUACACUAUGGAGCACUUUACAUUUUAAAAAUGUUUUCAAGAACUG
RNAcentral lists this long non-coding RNA (1154 nucleotides) under Danio rerio (zebrafish). RNAcentral describes it as "si:dkey-31n5.4 (ENSDARG00000097738.3)". Lineage: Eukaryota; Metazoa; Chordata; Actinopteri; Cypriniformes; Danionidae. The record is from RNAcentral.